Molecule: ribosomal RNA, 483 nt
Filed under: uncultured bacterium
Lineage: Bacteria
Description: partial 16S ribosomal RNA
Rfam family: Bacterial small subunit ribosomal RNA
Source: RNAcentral
GAUGAACGCUGGCGGCGUGCUUAACACAUGCAAGUCGAACGAUGAAGCCCCUGCUUGCAGGGGUGGAUUAGUGGCGAACGGGUGAGUAACACGUGAGCAACCUGCCCCUGACUCUGGGAUAAGCGCUGGAAACGGUGACUAAUACUGGAUAUGUGCCACGGCCGCCUGGUCUGUGGUUGGAAAGAUUUUUCGGUUGGGGAUGGGCUCGCGGCCUAUCAGCUUGUUGGUGAGGUAAUGGCUCACCAAGGCGUCGACGGGUAGACGGCCUGAGAGGGUGACCGGCCACACUGGGACUGAGACACGGCCCAGACUCCUACGGGAGGCAGCAGUGGGGAAUAUUGCACAAUGGGCGGAAGCCUGAUGCAGCAACGCCGCGUGAGGGAUGACGGCCUUCGGGUUGUAAACCGCUUUUGUCAGGGAAGAAACGCUCUGGGCUAAUACCCCGGAGUAAUGACGGUACCUGAAGAAUAAGCACCGGCCAAC